UGAGGAAUAUUGGUCAAUGGACGAGAGUCUGAACCAGCCAAGUAGCGUGCAGGAUGACGGCCCUAUGGGUUGUAAACUGCUUUUAGUUGGGAAUAAAAGGCGGCUCGUGAGCUGCGUAUUGUAUGUACCAUCAGAAAAAGGACCGGCUAAUUCCGUGCCAGCAGCCGCGGUAAUACGGAAGGUCCGGGCGUUAUCCGGAUUUAUUGGGUUUAAAGGGAGCGUAGGUGGACUAUUAAGUCAGUUGUGAAAACUGUCGGCUCAACCGGCAGCUUGCAGUUGAAACUGAUGGUCUUGAGUGCAGACAGAGGUGCUGGAAUUUAUGGUGUAGCGGUGAAAUGCUCAGAUAUCAUAAAGAACUCCGAUCGCGAAGGCAGGCACCUGGGCUGCUACUGACACUGAGGCUCGAAAGUGCGGGUAUC
RNAcentral lists this ribosomal RNA (419 nucleotides) under uncultured Prevotellaceae bacterium. RNAcentral describes it as "bacterial SSU rRNA". It matches the Rfam family "Bacterial small subunit ribosomal RNA", at positions 355 to 769 of the family's 1533-position model. Lineage: Bacteria; Pseudomonadati; Bacteroidota; Bacteroidia; Bacteroidales; Prevotellaceae. The record is from RNAcentral.